CAAGUACCGUGAGGGAAAGAUGAAAAGCACUUUGGAAAGAGAGUUAAACAGUACGUGAAAUUGUUGAAAGGGAAACGAUUGAAGUCAGUCAUGCUCUUUGGUAUUUAUAUCAUUGAGUGGGGUCAACAUCAGUUUUGAUCGAUGGAUAAAGGUACUAGGAAGGUAGCACUCUCGGGUGAACUUAUAGCCUAGCGUCAUAUACAUUGAUUGGGACUGAGGAACGCAGCAUGCCUUUAUGGCCGGGAUUCGUCCACGUACAUGCUUAGGAUGUUGACAUAAUGGC
Molecule: ribosomal RNA, 283 nt
Filed under: Cryptococcus sp. 16/00
Lineage: Eukaryota; Fungi; Basidiomycota; Tremellomycetes; Tremellales; Cryptococcaceae
Description: partial 26S ribosomal RNA
Rfam family: Eukaryotic large subunit ribosomal RNA
Source: RNAcentral